This 424-nucleotide ribosomal RNA is filed under the name uncultured Flavobacterium sp. RNAcentral describes it as "bacterial SSU rRNA". It matches the Rfam family "Bacterial small subunit ribosomal RNA", at positions 355 to 776 of the family's 1533-position model. Lineage: Bacteria; Pseudomonadati; Bacteroidota; Flavobacteriia; Flavobacteriales; Flavobacteriaceae. The record is from RNAcentral.
UGAGGAAUAUUGGUCAAUGGACGCAAGUCUGAACCAGCCAUGCCGCGUGCAGGAUGACGGUCCUAUGGAUUGUAAACUGCUUUUGUACAGGAAGAAACAUCUCUACGUGUAGAGACUUGACGGUACUGUAAGAAUAAGGAUCGGCUAACUCCGUGCCAGCAGCCGCGGUAAUACGGAGGAUCCAAGCGUUAUCCGGAAUCAUUGGGUUUAAAGGGUCCGUAGGCGGCUUAGCAAGUCAGUGGUGAAAUCUCCCCGCUCAACGGGGAAACGGCCAUUGAUACUACUAGGCUUGAAUUAUUAGGAAGUAACUAGAAUAUGUAGUGUAGCGGUGAAAUGCUUAGAUAUUACAUGGAAUACCAAUUGCGAAGGCAGGUUACUACUAAUUGAUUGACGCUGAUGGACGAAAGCGUGGGGAGCGAACAGG